RNAcentral lists this ribosomal RNA (905 nucleotides) under uncultured bacterium. Its description in RNAcentral is "bacterial SSU rRNA". It matches the Rfam family "Bacterial small subunit ribosomal RNA", at positions 8 to 916 of the family's 1533-position model. The record is from RNAcentral.
AGAGUUUGAUCAUGGCUCAGGAUGAACGCUAGCGGCAGGCUUAAUACAUGCAAGUCGAACGGGAUUCAGAUAGCAAUAUUUGAUGAGAGUGGCGCACGGGUGCGUAACACGUAUGCAACCUACCUUUAACUGGUGAAUAGCCCCGGGAAAUCGGGAUUAAUACACCAUAACAUCACGAAAGGGCAUCCUUUUGUAAUUAAAGAACUUCGGUUAAAGAUGGGCAUGCGGGACAUUAGCUAGUUGGUGAGGUAACGGCUCACCAAGGCAGUGAUGUCUAGGGGUCCUGAGAGGGUUAUCCCCCACACUGGUACUGAGACACGGACCAGACUCCUACGGGAGGCAGCAGUAAGGAAUAUUGGUCAAUGGGCGCAAGCUUGAACCAGCCAUGCCGCGUGAAGGAAGACGGCCCUAUGGGUUGUAAACUUCUUUUGUCAGGGAAUAAACGAUGGUACGUGUUACCGUCCUGAAGGUACCUGAAGAAUAAGCAUCGGCUAACUCCGUGCCAGCAGCCGCGGUAAUACGGAGGAUGCAAGCGUUAUCCGGAUUCAUUGGGUUUAAAGGGUGCGCAGGCGGAUUGGUAAGUCAGGGGUGAAAUCCCACAGCUCAACUGUGGAACUGCCUUUGAUACUGUCAGUCUAGAGUAUAGUUGAAGUUGGCGGAAUGUGUCAUGUAGCGGUGAAAUGCUUAGAUAUGACACAGAACACCGAUCGCGAAGGCAGCUGACUAAGCUAUAACUGACGCUCAUGCACGAAAGCGUGGGGAUCAAACAGGAUUAGAUACCCUGGUAGUCACGCUGUAAACGAUGAUUACUCGAUGUUGGCGAUCACUGUCAGCGUCUGAGCGAAAGCAAUAAGUAAUCCACUGGGGAGUACGAUCGCAAGAUUGAAACUCAAAUGAAUUGACGG